RNAcentral lists this ribosomal RNA (443 nucleotides) under uncultured bacterium. Its description in RNAcentral is "partial 16S ribosomal RNA". It matches the Rfam family "Bacterial small subunit ribosomal RNA", at positions 338 to 795 of the family's 1533-position model. The record is from RNAcentral.
CCUACGGGAGGCAGCAGUGGGGAAUAUUGCACAAUGGGGGAAACCCUGAUGCAGCGACGCCGCGUGAGUGAAGAAGUAUCUCGGUACGUAAAGCUCUAUCAGCAGGGAAGAAAGAAAUGACGGUACCUGACUAAGAAGCCCCGGCUAACUACGUGCCAGCAGCCGCGGUAAUACGUAGGGGGCAAGCGUUAUCCGGAUUUACUGGGUGUAAAGGGAGCGUAGACGGCGAUGCAAGUCUGAAGUGAAAGGCGGGGGCCCAACCCCCGGACUGCUUUGGAAACUGUAUGGCUGGAGUGCAGGAGAGGUAAGUUGAAUUCCUAGUGUAGCGGUGAAAUGCGUAGAUAUUAGGAGGAACACCAGUGGCGAAGGCGGCUUACGGGACUGUAACUGACGUUGAGGCUCGAAAGCGUGGGGAGCAAACAGGAUUAGAUACCCUGGUAGUC